UUGAUUUCCUAGGCUAUUCUUGCCUUUCCAAUCAAUUCCCAGUGUGGAUAUUUUACAUGUUAGUGGCUCCAGACAUAUCCAGAGGGACCCAAGAAUGUCGUGACCGCUUGAGUUGAAAAAACAAAGUAGGUGAUAAAAGGCUGAGGACUGAUAAUCACUUCCUGCUAAAGAAGCUGUCAUCUCCACAUCUUAUUGUUUGCAAAUAUUAGAUCGUUCACUGAAACACUUCUUCUGAAUCCAGUCUCACCCAACCAUUCUGUGGGAGCGCUCGUUAGUCAUUUUAUAAUUGAUUUGUAAAACAUGAACAUCAGAAUUGGUAACAUUUUUCACUCCGGUCUGAGAGUGGAAGAACAUGUGAUUUUAGGAACAUAAUGAGGAUGGAGUCUUCAGCGAGGAAAAGAUGGACAAACCUCCAUCCAGUCACAAAGAUGUCAGGACCAAGAAGCAAGGCAAAGGAAAGACCUUCACAGGCUUGUCAAUGACAGAUGGGAAGGAUAUUGAAUGUGAAAUCAAGAAAAAUUUCUCUGUCUUGGACUUCGGCCUCAUCUGUCUCCACCUCCCACUGCAGCUCCUGACCUCUGUUACCCAGCGCCCUCCUUCUCGGCUCUCCGUCUCUGACCUCACCGACUUGCCUCACCAUUAUCCCACUGCAAGCUUCUGACCAGCCGCUCUGCCCAAGGGUCUCUCAAAUGGUACUUACUGAGUGCCUUCUGUGGGCAGAGUUCCUACACUGAGCGCUUGGGAGAGAACAAUGAAUCGGGAGAGAACACAUAAUAACAAUGGUAUUGGCUAAGAGCUUACUGUGUGCCAAGUGCUGUACUAAAUGCUAGGGUGAAUACGAAUUCAAAAUGUUAAUUAAUGUUUAAUGAUUUAUCAUUAAAUAAUUCAAAAUAUACUGAUAUGUGGUAAACUAGGAAAUAUGAAAGGAAAUUUUAAUUUAUCCAGGUGAAUCUCAGUAUGACGUUUUCAGUUCUGCAGACAUUUUUCUUUGAUUACCAUCCUGAUGCCCACACUUAAAUACAAUUUCUCAAAAGAGAACACUUUGCAAGUGUUUCAGUAGCUUGUCAUAGAUGUUCAAGUAAGAGAUUGUGGCCAACUUUUGUUUUAAUUCUAUGCUAACCUUACUGGUUCUUCAUGUUUCAAGGCUGAAUAGAGUCAGUACUCAGUAUACUGACUCUCUCUCUAUGUGUGUGUGCGUGUGUGUGUAUGUAUUUCAAAGAUGACAUUACCAAUGGCUUAAAAGACUGAUGUGUGAGACACAAACCUCACCACACUGUAUGAAAGUGAAGCAGUAUGGUCUAGUGGAAAGAGCACAGGCUUGGGAAUCAGAGGACCUGAGUUGUAAUUCCAGCUCUGCCACUUGCUUGCUGUGUGACCUUAGGUGAGUCACUCAACUUGCCUGUGCCUCAGUUUCCUCAUCUGUAAAAUGAAGUUUAAAUAACUGUUCUCCUUUUCCCUCAGGCUGUGAGCCCCACGUGGGACUAAAGCUGUAUCUCUCUUGAUUUCACUAUAUCUACAUUAACCUUUAGUACAGUGCUUUGCACAUUGUAAAUGUUUAUUUUUAUUAUUAUAUAGAAACUAUUAGUAGUAGUGAUGAUAGCAAUUAUUAUCUUGUUAGCUUAAAAACAUGUUACUUCUUGAAGUUAUCAAAUUCUUAUUGCUAUGGUACUAUUAUUACUAUUUUUAGCAGUACUAGUAAUAUUAUUAUCAUUAUUAUUAUUAAGUAUGCUCAUUCUUUUUGGCAAUUUAUGUUCAGAGAAAUUAAAUUCCUUUGCCAUGUUACCCGGAAAAUAUAUUUCUAUUAAAGAAC
This 1810-nucleotide long non-coding RNA is filed under the name Ornithorhynchus anatinus (platypus). RNAcentral's name for it is "lncRNA (ENSOANG00000038224.1)". Lineage: Eukaryota; Metazoa; Chordata; Mammalia; Monotremata; Ornithorhynchidae. The record is from RNAcentral.